Molecule: ribosomal RNA, 574 nt
Filed under: Meloidogyne incognita (southern root-knot nematode)
Lineage: Eukaryota; Metazoa; Nematoda; Chromadorea; Rhabditida; Meloidogynidae
Description: eukaryotic LSU rRNA
Rfam family: Eukaryotic large subunit ribosomal RNA
Source: RNAcentral
UAAGACUUAAUAUUGCCACGAGACCGAUAGCAAACAAGUACUGUGAAGGAAAGUUGCAAAGCACUUUGAAGAGAGAGUUAAAGAGGACGUGAAACCGGUAAGGUGGAAACGGAUAGAGUCGGCGUAUCAUUCAAUUAUUCAGUUACAUUAUUUUUAUGUUGUGACCUCUGAGCUCCAGAUUGGGACAGAGGGAAUCAGCAUAAUUUUUUGUGGUGCAUUUACUUGAUUGGUGCUUGGGGAUGUUUGAGGCAGAUUUGUUUCCGUCGUUUUGAGGCCAGCUUGCUGGUACCCAAACGGUGUUAGCAUUUUUUGUCUUGGGCAUUUGAGUAUGGCUCACGUGUAUUUAUUGGACAGAUCUGAGUGUAAGUUACGGUCGCAUGCGACACGUGCUUUUCAAUUAGUUCGGUCCAGUUAAUGCUCUCGUACUCGUUCCCCAUGUAAAAGCCGGUCAUCUAUCCGACCCGUCUUGAAACACGGACCAAGGAGUUUAUCGUGUGCGCAAGUUUUUGGGUGUUAAAAACUUAAAAGCGAAAUGAAAGUAAAUGACUCUUUAGAGUCUGAUGUGCGAUCUUGU